Microplitis mediator is the source of this 467-nucleotide long non-coding RNA. RefSeq lists it as uncharacterized. The record is from RefSeq and is a predicted model, not a curated record. The transcript is spliced from 3 exons. Lineage: Eukaryota; Metazoa; Arthropoda; Insecta; Hymenoptera; Braconidae.
GUUAUUCUAUAAUAAUAAUAAUUAUAAUAAUAAUAAUAAUAAUAACAAUAAUACAAUUAUUAAUUAUAUUAAUAUACGACGAAUGAUAAUUAUUUUUUUUGUAGUUAAUAUUAUUGAAGAAACAAAUUUUUAUUUAAAUAUAUUUCAAAUUAUUUAAAAUUUUACCGGCUUUUCUUAAAAAAAUUUUUAUAAAAAUGGCUGAUGAAUCAACAACUGGAUCAAAUUCAACAUCUAAUUACUCAGCAGAAAGAACUGAACUACUCUACAAAACAAUUAAAACAAAUCUUCAAGAAGUAUUACAACUCGCAAAUGAAACAGACAAGAAUUUAAAAAACUUGAAACAAAAUAUGGCUACUACAGAAAAGUUAUUAAAGAUAAUAAAAAAAGAUAAUGUGUAAUUAAAAAUAAAAGAUACAUUCCUUGUAUUAAAUAAAAUAAAAUAAUCUAUGAGUAAGUAUAAAGAUUUA